This 301-nucleotide ribosomal RNA is filed under the name uncultured bacterium. RNAcentral's name for it is "partial 16S ribosomal RNA". It matches the Rfam family "Bacterial small subunit ribosomal RNA", at positions 509 to 807 of the family's 1533-position model. The record is from RNAcentral.
CAGCCGCCACGGGAAUACAGAGGGUGCGAGCGUUAAUCGGAUUUACUGGGCGUAAAGCGUGCGUAGGCGGCUUUUUAAGUCGGAUGUGAAAUCCCUGAGCUUAACUUAGGAAUUGCAUUCGAUACUGGGAAGCUAGAGUAUGGGAGAGGAUGGUAGAAUUCCAGGUGUAGCGGUGAAAUGCGUAGAGAUCUGGAGGAAUACCGAUGGCGAAGGCAGCCAUCUGGCCUAAUACUGACGCUGAGGUACGAAAGCAUGGGGAGCAAACAGGAUUAGAUACCCGAGUAGUCCCUGUCUCUUAUAC